UACGUAGGGAGCGAGCGUUAUCCGGAUUUAUUGGGCGUAAAGGGUGCGUAGGCGGCUUGUUAAGUAUGAAAUUAAAGCCCGGGGCUUAACUCCGGUUCGUUUCAUAAACUGGCAGGCUUGAGUAUGGAAGAGGUAAACGGAAUUUCUAGUGUAGCGGUGGAAUGCGUAGAUAUUAGAAGGAACACCAGUGGCGAAGGCGGUUUACUGGGCCAUUACUGACGCUGAGGCACGAAAGCGUGGGGAGCAAAUAGG
Molecule: ribosomal RNA, 252 nt
Filed under: uncultured bacterium
Lineage: Bacteria
Description: partial 16S ribosomal RNA
Rfam family: Bacterial small subunit ribosomal RNA
Source: RNAcentral